RNAcentral lists this ribosomal RNA (484 nucleotides) under uncultured bacterium. Its description in RNAcentral is "partial 16S ribosomal RNA". It matches the Rfam family "Bacterial small subunit ribosomal RNA", at positions 30 to 507 of the family's 1533-position model. The record is from RNAcentral.
AUUGAACGCUGGCGGCAGGCCUAACACAUGCAAGUCGAGCGGAUGAAGGGAGCUUGCUCCUGGAUUCAGCGGCGGACGGGUGAGUAAUGCCUAGGAAUCUGCCUGGUAGUGGGGGAUAACGUCCGGAAACGGGCGCUAAUACCGCAUACGUCCUGAGGGAGAAAGUGGGGGUUCUUCGGACUCACCCUUUUCAGAUGACCCUAGGUCGGAUUAGCUAGUUGGUGGGGUAAAGGCCUACCAAGGCGACGAUCCGUAACUGGUCUGAGAGGAUGAUCAGUCACACUGGAACUGAGACACGGUCCAGACUCCUACGGGAGGCAGCAGUGGGGAAUAUUGGACAAUGGGCGAAAGCCUGAUCCAGCCAUGCCGCGUGUGUGAAGAAGGUCUUCGGAUUGUAAAGCACUUUAAGUUGGGAGGAAGGGCAGUAAGUUAAUACCUUGCUGUUUUAACGUUACCAACAGAAUAAGCACCGGCUAACUUCGUG